CUGAAGAGAGGAGCUUGCUCUUCUUGGAUGAGUUGCGAACGGGUGAGUAACGCGUAGGUAACCUGCCUUGUAGCGGGGGAUAACUAUUGGAAACGAUAGCUAAUACCGCAUAACAAUGGAUGACACAUGUCAUUUAUUUGAAAGGGGCAAUUGCUCCACUACAAGAUGGACCUGCGUUGUAUUAGCUAGUAGGUGAGGUAACGGCUCACCUAGGCGACGAUACAUAGCCGACCUGAGAGGGUGAUCGGCCACACUGGGACUGAGACACGGCCCAGACUCCUACGGGAGGCAGCAGUAGGGAAUCUUCGGCAAUGGGGGCAACCCUGACCGAGCAACGCCGCGUGAGUGAAGAAGGUUUUCGGAUCGUAAAGCUCUGUUGUAAGUCAAGAACGAGUGUGAGAGUGGAAAGUUCACACUGUGACGGUAGCUUACCAGAAAGGGACGGCUAACUACGUGCCAGCAGCCGCGGUAAUACGUAGGUCCCGAGCGUUGUCCGGAUUUAUUGGGCGUAAAGCGAGCGCAGGCGGUUUGAUAAGUCUGAAGUUAAAGGCUGUGGCUCAACCAUAGUUCGCUUUGGAAACUGUCAAACUUGAGUGCAGAAGGGGAGAGUGGAAUUCCAUGUGUAGCGGUGAAAUGCGUAGAUAUAUGGAGGAACACCGGUGGCGAAAGCGGCUCUCUGGUCUGUAACUGACGCUGAGGCUCGAAAGCGUGGGGAGCGAACAGGAUUAGAUACCCUGGUAGUCCACGCCGUAAACGAUGAGUGCUAGGUGUUGGAUCCUUUCCGGGAUUCAGUGCCGCAGCUAACGCAUUAAGCACUCCGCCUGGGGAGUACGACCGCAAGGUUGAAACUCAAAGGAAUUGACGGGGGCCCGCACAAGCGGUGGAGCAUGUGGUUUAAUUCGAAGCAACGCGAAGAACCUUACCAGGUCUUGACAUCCCGAUGCUAUUUCUAGAGAUAGAAAGUUACUUCGGUACAUCGGUGACAGGUGGUGCAUGGUUGUCGCCAGCUCGUGUCGUGAGAUGUUGGGUUAAGUCCCGCAACGAGCGCAACCCCUAUUGUUAGUUGCCAUCAUUCAGUUGGGCACUCUAGCGAGACUGCCGGUAAUAAACCGGAGGAAGGUGGGGAUGACGUCAAAUCAUCAUGCCCCUUAUGACCUGGGCUACACACGUGCUACAAUGGUUGGUACAACGAGUUGCGAGUCGGUGACGGCAAGCUAAUCUCUUAAAGCCAAUCUCAGUUCGGAUUGUAGGCUGCAAUUCGCCUACAUGAAGUCGGAAUCGCUAGUAAUCGCGGAUCAGCACGCCGCGGUGAAUACGUUCCCGGGCCUUGUACACACCGCCCGUCACACCACGAGAGUUUGUAACACCCGAAGUCGGUGAGGUA
RNAcentral lists this ribosomal RNA (1384 nucleotides) under uncultured bacterium. RNAcentral describes it as "bacterial SSU rRNA". It matches the Rfam family "Bacterial small subunit ribosomal RNA", at positions 67 to 1437 of the family's 1533-position model. The record is from RNAcentral.